Poecilia reticulata (guppy) is the source of this 4283-nucleotide non-coding RNA. Lineage: Eukaryota; Metazoa; Chordata; Actinopteri; Cyprinodontiformes; Poeciliidae. The record is from RefSeq and is a predicted model, not a curated record.
GCCGCAGACAGCAGCCACUCCGAUCGCUCCGAUUAUCCGCCGUCGUCGAUAAGCGCGUCGUUUGUCAUCCGGCCGCAGCGUGUUUUCAACGGAGCCGGACCUGAUCGCAGCCAGUCCGUGAAUCAGAUGAUGAGCGACGGUCCCGUUGUGACGUGAAAAAGAGACGCCAGCAUUGUUCUGAGAUGUAGAGCUUGAUGAACAUUAUCAUCGUUUUAUUUUUGUAUGAGUUCAUUUUUAAAGUCCCUUUUUAUGUAUUUAGAUUAAACUGCAGCACAAUAUCAUCACAUUUUGAUAAUUUUUGUCAUCCACUGGAAUGAGAACACGACUAUGUCAGGCAGCUGAAUUUCCUUCUCUAGAUACUAAAAUGAAAGUAGGGCUGAAACGAUUAAUCGGUUAGUGAAAUGAUCAAUUGUUAACUGAAGUGCACACUCAAAAGGGCGAUUUGCUUCACAGAACAACAUAUCCAGAGUAGCGUUUAAGCCAAACAAAAAUACAUUUUGCAUAUGAGGUAAAAAGAACCUUCUUUGUCUGUAAAUAAUGUUCCAGCCAGAACUCCUCCAGUGGCAUCAUAGUUUUAGCUUCACCCUGUUUAAAUACCGGAAAAUUUCUCCUAUUAAGAAUCAUUUGCUGGCCAUUUAUAAAUCCGUUAAUCCAGGAACAAUAAACAGGUCGGUCCUCCCCUUUAUUGGUAUAAAGGGUUUCACAUGCUGACGCUAAAAGUGUAUUUUGUUGCAUCCUUUGCAACAAAUKAUACACUGGAGGAAUGCAAUAUUAUUGCAUUUUAGGCAACAAAAUGUUUAUUUUUUUAUUUGAGAAAGGAAUUGAAUUAUUUGUUUAUUUGCAUCUUGUGACGCUUUUCGAAAUUUGCGUUUAAAGGCUGAAGUGGAUAAACAAAAGAAGUCGGCAGAAUUUGGCAAAAGUUGUUAUCCAAUUAAUCGAUUAAUUGCUUUAUCACAGAUUAAUCGGAUAAAAGUAAUCUUUACUUGCAGCCCUAAAAUUCACUCUACACAAGCAUUAUGUUAACAAAGACAGGGAUGCUGUGCAGAAUGGAAACCAAACCGCAGGUUUACAUCAGGAAACUUGUCCCGACACAAACCGGACGCUCCUCUUCUGUGGAGUUUGUUGAGACUCCGGUUGCAAAAUAUUCAUGCAUAACUCGGCCUCGGAUGAUGCAUCCCAGAUAUCCGCCAUAUGGCCCCCMCUUUCAUAGUUCUAACAGCCCUUUGGAGUGGAAACAGAGCUUCAAACUCCGGGUAAUGAACAGCCAAAAUCGGUGUGGGGGAUUCGGGGGGGAUGGGUAGAGCUCGAAAACGGCUUUGUGAGAAGAAACAGAUGGUGGGAGGUACAGUAACCAACCCACCUGUGCACAAUGCAGGUAAUUGCUUCCGAAAGAAAAAAGCACGGUGGCAUACGGUGCUUUAAACUCGUUUUUAUUUGCUCAGCACUUUGGACGGCACCUGCAAAAGAGAAAAAAAAUGUUGAAAAAAACCCCCCCCAGAGGAAUCUGUCGGUGGAUGUUUCAGCACCAAGGACAGCGUCAACCGGGUUGGUUUGUUUUCUCCAUCAUCUGCUUCCUUACUGUGACUUACGACACAUUUAACAUGCUUUUGUUUUUGUUUUUUUCCUUAAACUUAUUACAACAGGAAAGGCACUUUUUGAAAACAGGUCCGUCUCUGUUUUGUCCUCUUCAGCCUCGCCCAACAGCUUGAGGGAUUGCUUCAAAGCAGCUCGGAAGCCAAAGCCAAACCUUCAAAAAUAGCUUGGAGGAAGGAGAAAUAAAAUGUUUCUUUUAAUUUCCACCCAAAAGAAAAAAAAAACAGGACAAAGCUUAAAACUCUCAUUUCCUGCUAAAAGUUAGUUCUGCUUAUUUAGCUGGCAGACAUUUUCCGACAUUUAUUAGCUGGGAGACCAUUCAAAAUCAAGCUGGCUGAAAACAAUCCUGAUCAGAUGUCUUGAAUGAGCUUUUAUUCUAUCUUUAACACAAAGAUGUUUUGCAGGGAACAACAUUUGAAUAUACAUUUGUUGGAUUUGGCAGUGGAUUCAGAAUUACAUAAGGGGAUACUGUGAGGGAUGGAAAUGGAAGGACUAAAUCUAGUUUAUUUUUCUUCCUUUGCUCUUUCCUUUGGUUUAUUUUGUUUKUACUUCCUUUUAACUCCUGCAAAAGACUUUGUAUUGCCUUGUUGCUGAAAAUGUGCUAUAUAAAUAAAAUUGCCUUUACCAAAGUAUUUGUAACUUAUUUUAACCCGCAGUGAGCUGCAAUGCCAUGCAACAUUACUUAUUUSCUACUGGAUUUCUCCACAUAUUUUCACAUAUUCUCAAUAAAAAUGUAUUUUUAGUAAGAUUUAAUGUUAGACUGCGUAUUUACAACAUUUCCAACCCAAAGAGUCAUUGUUGWACUCAGUCCAGCUAAAUAUAUAUUUUUAUUUAUUUAUUUGUGGACAAUUAUUUAGGAAAACAAUACAAAAUCAUUUCCAACCAAAAUAUUUUUUUAAAGUAUGUACAUUACUCGUAUUUUUGCUAGCAAUUCUGUUAAAAUAACUGAAAAACCUGCUAAACAUUUUGACGACUGAAUGUUAGGAUCUGUGCAAACCACGUAUGAUUCACGUAAAGCACAGAAGAAUUUAGUGAAACGAGACAAAAAUACAACUUUCUUUUUGUGGCAAAGAAUUGCUGAAAUGCGAGUCUGUAGAUGUGCAACGCUGGCAGAGAGUCUUUCCCCAAACUCAUGCCAGUCACUCGGUGAGGUCAGCCUGUGAGAGGAUCCCUGUAAAUCCUCCCGCUGGUUCGUUUUCAGGCUUUUACAGCGGAAAUUUCACUGCGAUCGACUUUAAUUUGCCAUCUCAGGCUAUUCCAAUCAGCCACUCCUCCGCUUAUGGCGAUUGCUAUUUCUUUUUCUUGUUUUUUUUUUUUAAAGGAACAAAAGGCCCUGAAAAACGCACCACCAUGACAGGAAAUCAAUACGCUUCUACAAAAUGUAAUGUGUAACUUAAAAUGUAUCAAAUCGAACUUCAUAGUUGUAUUUUUUUUUUCUUGAGGUAUUAAGUAAUGUUUGAUGACUUGGCGUCUCUUUUUUCAGUUUCCAUUUGACUGAAGGGUGAGGCCGGACGUCGCACCUUGCCGCACAGGUGAAGCAGUCGUAGCGUAACUGCGGCGCGCCUUGGGGAGCGGGUUGGGAGGCGCCGUGCGUCGUGCGCUGCAUGGCGUGGCCACGGAUUUGCGCGUGGCGCUCGGUUCCCGUCAGACCCAUCGGAAGCUCGGAACGCGGCGCAACCCCGAUUUGAACGCAUUAAAGAAGGGGGGAAAAAAGUAAAACCCGCAGGAGUAUCUCCACUCGUCGGGGUCUUUCGUUUUCAGCCUCCUUCCCCUCAUCGGAGUCGGACUGACUGUCGUUGGUUGACUUUCUCCCCGUGAGGGGGGUUGAAGGAACCGGGGGCGGGGGGUUGUGAGAGAGGGGCGCCAAAAAAAGAAAAAAAAAAUCCCAAAGAGGGAAAGGGAAAAGGUAGCGCGCGCACAAACGGCAACGGGGAAGGGAGACGCGUAAGCGACGUCGGACCUGGCUGGCCGCCUCUUUCGGGUUUCAGGAGCAUUGCGAAGGGGGGAGAGGAGAGGAGGCGAUGCUGCUGGGCGGGGAUGGUGCUCGGUUUCUGCCCGGCGGUGGAGGAGAAGAUGCGAGCUGCUGUUCCGGCGCACCUGCACCGCCGCCGUCGUCGCGUUUUUCGACCGAGAAUUGAUGAUGGUGAUGACGAUGCUGCCUCCAUCAUCCGGAUCCUGUUUGUCUGGGAUUCUUGUUCCCCCAACUCUGGAUUAUAGAUGAUUGUCGUGGACAUUAUCUUUUGAUUUUUUUAUUAUUUUAUUUUAUUAAUUUUAUUUUUUUGUUUUUAUUUCAUCAGCUCGGCUAUUUUUCUUCUUCCUUCCUUGCCCUUCUUCUUCUUUCUUUUACGCAAUGACGAGAUAGACUGGUAGACUUCAGGAUCGGAGUAUUUUCAUCUCCAAGUGCGCGCAAUCACGCCCAAAAAUCAGUGACCGACGCCUUGUAGAAGAAGAGGAGGAGGAACAGGAGGAGGAGGAGGAGGAGGAGGAGGAAGGGGGGAUGCCGCACCGUCCAUUACCAAAUAUCAACAAAUGUCACCAGGCUCGGAUUUUGGGGAAGCCCCCCGUCGGUUGACGUUUUUUGCGUGUACGCGGAAAGCCGCGGCGGCAGUGAAAGGUGGCAGCGGGAGCCACAUCAAACACUGCGGAUAUAUGGAACAAGAAGAAAUGAAUUAUUAAAGAUUUUACUCUUA